UGACUGCUGUACUUUGUGAUGAAAUAAAUGCUGUCCAUGUGUGUUAGAGGUGCUGAGAGAGCACUGAUUGAACUGACCUCCCAAAGGAGCUGACAUAGACAUGCCUUGUUUGUAAAUCAUAAACAGUCUAACAGCAGAGACAGGCACUGAGAUACCAAGGCGCUGAUACUUCAAGGAACAUACAACAUUUUCAGCACCAAAAGUUGUCACUGUGUUACCAACGAAUUAACCCCAGCACCAUAACAUACUAUAGAAUUGAUAGAACAGAGUAGCAGUCUCACUGCAGUAAAUAUCUCAUGCCUUGAUCCUACACAGAAAUUCACAGAUGAAAAAUUCAAUGAGAUUCUGACAGGCACAUGCAUCCAUUUGUACAAGGAUGAUGGUACAAUCAGAUCCUUAAAUGUCUAUUUACUACAAAAAAACAGCAAAACUCCUGAACUGACUUCAGAGAAAAAAUCACAACAGUGGUAUAUUGAUCCUGAAACGCGAACAAUCCUGAAGACUGUUACCUCUUCAGGACAAGCCAACAGAAUUAUGUGAUUGUUUUUGUAUCCCCUCUCUCUAAAGUAAAUUUCAUCGUUUAAAGCAAUAAUCCUGAGUUUAGCCUAGCUGGAAAAAGGAUGCUCCACCUAUUGUGAGACUUAUCUUCAGUAAAAUGUGUUUUCACUCUUCAUUUUCAGAACUUCAUAAUGUCUUCUGUUUCUGCUGUUGCCACUCAUUCAUACCUGUGUGUCUCAUACAUUGUCC
Molecule: long non-coding RNA, 747 nt
Filed under: Gallus gallus (chicken)
Lineage: Eukaryota; Metazoa; Chordata; Aves; Galliformes; Phasianidae
Description: lncRNA (ENSGALG00010011661.1)
Source: RNAcentral